AUUGAACGCUGGCGGCAUGCCUUACACAUGCAAGUCGAACGGCAGCACGGGAGCAAUCCUGGUGGCGAGUGGCGAACGGGUGAGUAAAGUAUCGGAACGUGCCCAGUCGUGGGGGAUAACGUAGCGAAAGUUACGCUAAUACCGCAUACGAUCUAUGGAUGAAAGCGGGGGAUCGCAAGACCACCCGCGAUUGGAGCGGCCGAUAUCAGAUUAGGUAGUUGGUGGGGUAAAGGCCCACCAAGCCGCCGAUCCGUAGCUGGUCUGAGAGGACGACCAGCCACACUGGGACUAAGACACGACCCAGACUCCUACGGGAGGCAGCAGUGGGGAAUUUUGGACAAUGGGCGAAAGCCUGAUCCAGCCAUGCCGCGUGCAGGAUGAAGGCCUUCGGGUUGUAAACUGCUGUUGUACGGAACGAAAAGGACUGCCCUAAUACGGUGGUCCCAUGACGGUACCGUAAGAAUAAGCACCGGCUAACUACGUGCCAGCCGCCGCCGUAA
RNAcentral lists this ribosomal RNA (500 nucleotides) under uncultured bacterium. RNAcentral describes it as "partial 16S ribosomal RNA". It matches the Rfam family "Bacterial small subunit ribosomal RNA", at positions 29 to 523 of the family's 1533-position model. The record is from RNAcentral.